RNAcentral lists this ribosomal RNA (301 nucleotides) under uncultured bacterium. Its description in RNAcentral is "partial 16S ribosomal RNA". It matches the Rfam family "Bacterial small subunit ribosomal RNA", at positions 509 to 809 of the family's 1533-position model. The record is from RNAcentral.
CAGUCGCCGCGGUAAUACGUAGGUGGCAAGCGUUGUCCGGAAUUAUUGGGCGUAAAGGGCUCGCAGGCGGUUUCUUAAGUCUGAUGUGAAAGCCCCCGGCUCAACCGGGGAGGGUCAUUGGAAACUGGGAAACUUGAGUGCAGAAGAGGAGAGUGGAAUUCCACGUGUAGCGGUGAAAUGCGUAGAGAUGUGGAGGAACACCAGUGGCGAAGGCGACUCUCUGGUCUGUAACUGACGCUGAGGAGCGAAAGCGUGGGGAGCGAACAGGAUUAGAUACCCCGGUAGUCCCUGUCUCUUAUAA